GUCGAACGGAAACAUGUCUAGCUUGCUAGAUGAUGUCGAGUGGCGGACGGGUGAGUAAUGCUUGGGAACUUGCCUUUGCGAGGGGGAUAACAGUUGGAAACGACUGCUAAUACCGCAUAAUGUCUACGGACCAAACAGGGCUUCGGCUCUGGCGCAAAGAGAGGCCCAAGUGAGAUUAGCUAGUUGGUGAGGUAAAGGCUCACCAAGGCAACGAUCUCUAGCUGUUCUGAGAGGAAGAUCAGCCACACUGGGACUGAGACACGGCCCAGACUCCUACGGGAGGCAGCAGUGGGGAAUAUUGCACAAUGGGGGAAACCCUGAUGCAGCCAUGCCGCGUGUGUGAAGAAGGCCUUCGGGUUGUAAAGCACUUUCAGUUGUGAGGAAAAGUUAGUAGUUAAUACCUGCUAGCCGUGACGUUAACAACAGAAGAAGCACCGGCUAACUCCGUGCCAGCAGCCGCGGUAAUACGGAGGGUGCGAGCGUUAAUCGGAAUUACUGGGCGUAAAGCGCACGCAGGCGGUUUGUUAAGCUAGAUGUGAAAGCCCCGGGCUCAACCUGGGACGGUCAUUUAGAACUGGCAGACUAGAGUCUUGGAGAGGGGAGUGGAAUUCCAGGUGUAGCGGUGAAAUGCGUAGAUAUCUGGAGGAACAUCAGUGGCGAAGGCGACUCCCUGGCCAAAGACUGACGCUCAUGUGCGAAAGUGUGGGUAGCGAACAGGAUUAGAUACCCUGGUAGUCCACACCGUAAACGCUGUCUACUAGCUGUUUGUGACUUUAAGUCGUGAGUAGCGAAGCUAACGCGAUAAGUAGACCGCCUGGGGAGUACGGCCGCAAGGUUAAAACUCAAAUGAAUUGACGGGGGCCCGCACAAGCGGUGGAGCAUGUGGUUUAAUUCGAUGCAACGCGAAGAACCUUACCUACACUUGACAUGUUGAGAAGUUACCAGAGAUGGUUUCGUGCCUUCGGNAACUCAA
Molecule: ribosomal RNA, 973 nt
Filed under: Alteromonas sp.
Lineage: Bacteria; Pseudomonadati; Pseudomonadota; Gammaproteobacteria; Alteromonadales; Alteromonadaceae
Description: bacterial SSU rRNA
Rfam family: Bacterial small subunit ribosomal RNA
Source: RNAcentral